UGGGGGCAGGAGAGUGACCGACAAUUUCUCCCCACGGACACACGCGCCUCUCUUCCGCCGCAACCUUGUCUGGGGGCGUCCUCUGAGCUUUCCUGGUCUUCUCAAGGACAACCUGAAAGACACUCAGAUGAGGUGAAGGAGGGGGCUUGACAAUAUGCAAACAAAAGCUUCUUGUUGGGACCCAGUGUCUACCUGAACACUCUAUAGCUCCGUCAGUCCCACUGAGAUUAAGAUAAGAAUUAUUAUGAUCACAACUUUACAGGUGAGGAAACUGAGGCACAGAAAUUUUAAGGAAGGACCAGGUGACCUGCUACAUCUCUUCAGCAGUGCAUUCUG
This is a non-coding RNA of Kogia breviceps (pygmy sperm whale), 336 nucleotides long. The record is from RefSeq and is a predicted model, not a curated record. Lineage: Eukaryota; Metazoa; Chordata; Mammalia; Artiodactyla; Physeteridae.